CGGCGGACGGGUGAGUAACGCGUGGGUAACCUGCCUCAUACAGGGGGAUAACAGUUAGAAAUGACUGCUAAUACCGCAUAAGGCCACAGGAUCGCAUGAUCCGGUGGUAAAAACUCCGGUGGUAUGAGAUGGACCCGCGUCUGAUUAGCUAGUUGGUGGGGUAACGGCCCACCAAGGCGACGAUCAGUAGCCGACCUGAGAGGGUGACCGGCCACAUUGGGACUGAGACACGGCCCAA
RNAcentral lists this ribosomal RNA (238 nucleotides) under uncultured bacterium. RNAcentral describes it as "partial 16S ribosomal RNA". It matches the Rfam family "Bacterial small subunit ribosomal RNA", at positions 96 to 334 of the family's 1533-position model. The record is from RNAcentral.